AUAUUUUUCAAGGGUUAGUUCUGAAAUCAGAAACUGGUGUUGUUUAAAUAUAUAAUCUGUUGUAGAUUAUGGUUUCUGUUUAUGGUGUAACAGUUCAAGAUAUGUGAUGACCAUGUAAAAUCUGGAUCCAUAGCAACUUGUUUAACUUGCAGCUUCUAUUUAAAAGGUCUCAACAUGUGUGGGUAAUAAUGUCUGUCUUCUUUACGAGCCUCUUGUUUACUAUGCUGCAUGGGGUAGUGCUCUCUUAUUGCAUAAACUAUCCCUGCUCAUCUCCUGCUUGGAAUUUCCAAGUUCAAACCAGUGGAUGUUCCUGUGGAGGUUCAUGUCUAGGCUUUGUUUGACAAUUAUUAGAUACCUGACAAUGGCAAUAUAGCUUGGGUUACUCAAUUAGUUAUUUGAUUAUAUCUUGUGGCAGUGGGAUGACAAAUAUUCUUGCUAAAAACUUUUGAUACUUGUACAGGAUCUUUUUUUCCUUUGCAUCUUAACUUUUAGCUAUUUGCAGCAACUAUGUUGACCAUCAUGUCA
This 525-nucleotide unclassified non-coding RNA is filed under the name Hevea brasiliensis (rubber tree). The record is from RNAcentral. Lineage: Eukaryota; Viridiplantae; Streptophyta; Magnoliopsida; Malpighiales; Euphorbiaceae.